CAGCCAGUGUUAGAGUCAUCUGCAGCAAAUGUGGGAAAAAGAGUCGUCCCGUCCUGCGAACUUAUACAAGAAGAUUGGCUACUUCGAAAACUGGAGCAGCUUGUUUGCUAACUUGUUGGCCACUGUGCUUCCUGCCCUGUCUCACCAAGAACAUCCAGCAGCAGUUUCUUUACUGCAGCAAAUGUGAUUACUGUUUGGGUGAAUUUCAGCAGAGAAAGCGUUGAGGAAAUUCAAGAAAUGCUUAUGCCCUCUCAUUUUGAAAUUUGUGCUACUUUCAAGAAAAUUUUAUGUGAAUAUCAAAAUUUUUUGUAAAUAGGGUAAAUUAAGCUAAUUCUAAACCUACUCCAAAUGGAAAUUUUUCACUACUCCAAAUGGAAACGUCACUGUUUUCAUGAUAAAUACAGUACUAAAUCACUAUAUUUAUAUAUUUUCUAUACCACAGUUUCAUUAUUUAGUUAAUUUUGCUCUAAAUAAAGCAAAAAUCCAUUCAUAUUCACAAAUUUUAAUUUGUCAAUUUCUCAGAAAAAUUAAAAGUGUUGAUUUUCACCAUCGAAUUUUUCAUAGAUCGACCACGCUUUCCAAUGAAAAACACAAUAAAGUGACUGUAGUUUAUUCGUUUUGUUUAACAUUUAUGUCAUAUUUCUGGCUAAUUUUAGUUAAAUUAAGUGCUAAUCUUUAUUGUUAACGGUAAGUGGAGUUUACAAAUGAAAUAAUUACCUAUUUCGUGAACAAAAAGGGUUUUUCUGAAGUAUCUGCAAAUGCUUCAAUAAAAAACCCCGGAAAUAUGAUUUUUUUGAGAGAUUUUAUUGUUUUAGAUGGGAAAGGAUAAAAGACCAGGAAUAAGAACAAAUCCUGCACUCAAGAGCAACUCAACAAGGAUUUGGAAGCCUUUCGUCGCGGUUUCAGUUACACUGUUUGUCUCCAAUUGGAAACUUUUCCUUGUCUCCAUUUGGAUUAAUAUGUUUUCAAUAGAAGUAUUAUACACUUGUGUAUUUUUCUUGUAUUUAUAAAGUUUUCAAAUUAUAUCUAAAGAAUUUUCACUAAACAGUAACAUUCUAGAAGAGUCAAGGGGCAAAUUUAUGUAAUUCUCUUCAGAAAAAAUAUAAAUUUAAUGUGUUGAAUCUUCUGUCAAAGUUAAAGCGUCUGGAAAUGGUUUUGAAUUAAGACAUUUACCCUAAACCAAUUUUAUAUUUCUAGUCACAAAAUCUCUGAAGACUAAGCACACUCUAACAACGGCUUAUACGGGUUUCAGACCUAAGGCUUAGCCAUAUGGUUUAACUUCUCUAACUUCUUAUCAAUAAAGAUUUUUCAUAAAA
Phlebotomus papatasi is the source of this 1316-nucleotide long non-coding RNA. RefSeq lists it as uncharacterized. Lineage: Eukaryota; Metazoa; Arthropoda; Insecta; Diptera; Psychodidae. The record is from RefSeq and is a predicted model, not a curated record. The transcript is spliced from 2 exons.